GACGAACGCUGGCGGCGUGCUUAACACAUGCAAGUCGAACGGUAACAGGCCCUUCGGGGUGCUGACGAGUGGCGGACGGGUGAGUAAUGCUUAGGAAUCUGCCUAGUAGUGGGGGAUAACCCGGGGAACUCGGGCUAAUACCGCAUACGCCCUACGGGGGAAAGGCGGGGACGUUUCGGCCGUCGCGCUAUUAGAUGAGCCUAAGUCCGAUUAGCUAGUUGGUAGGGUAA
Molecule: ribosomal RNA, 230 nt
Filed under: uncultured bacterium
Lineage: Bacteria
Description: partial 16S ribosomal RNA
Rfam family: Bacterial small subunit ribosomal RNA
Source: RNAcentral